This 429-nucleotide ribosomal RNA is filed under the name Chloroflexota bacterium. RNAcentral's name for it is "Chloroflexi bacterium partial 16S ribosomal RNA". It matches the Rfam family "Bacterial small subunit ribosomal RNA", at positions 355 to 776 of the family's 1533-position model. The record is from RNAcentral. Lineage: Bacteria; Bacillati; Chloroflexota.
UGGGGAAUAUUGCACAAUGGGCGCAAGCCUGAUGCAGCCAUGCCGCGUGUAUGAAGAAGGCCUUCGGGUUGUAAAGUACUUUCAGCGGGGAGGAAGGGAGUAAAGUUAAUACCUUUGCUCAUUGACGUUACCCGCAGAAGAAGCACCGGCUAACUCCGUGCCAGCAGCCGCGGUAAUACGGAGGGUGCAAGCGUUAUUCGGAAUUACUGGGCGUAAAGCGCACGCAGGCGGUUUGUUAAGUCAGAUGUGAAAUCCCCGGGCUCAACCUGGGAACUGCAUCUGAUACUGGCAAGCUUGAGUCUCGUAGAGGGGGGUAGAAUUCCAGGUGUAGCGGUGAAAUGCGUAGAGAUCUGGAGGAAUACCGGUGGCGAAGGCGGCCCCCUGGACGAAGACUGACGCUCAGGUGCGAAAGCGUGGGGAGCAAACAGG